UCAGCUGGGAGAGCGCCUGCUUUGCACGCAGGAGGUCUGCGGUUCGAUCCCGCAUAGCUCCACCAUCUUUACUGCGAACACAAGAAAACUUCAGAGUGAACCUGAAAAGGUGCACUGCGAAGUUUUGCUCUUUAAAAAUCUGGAUCAAGCUGAAAAUUGAAACGACACACNCGAGCGAACGGGGAGCAGCCCAGAGUCUGAAUCAGCUUGUGUGUUAGUGGAACGGUCUGGAAAGUCCGACGGUACAGGGUGAUAGUCCCGUACACCAAAAUGCACAGGUUGUGAACUCGAAGAGUAGGGCGGGACACGUGGUAUCCUGUCUGAAUAUGGGGGGACCAUCCUCCAAGGCUAAAUACUCCUGACUGACCGAUAGUGAACCAGUACCGUGAGGGAAAGGCGAAAAGAACCCCGGCGAGGGGAGUGAAAAAGAACCUGAAACCGUGUACGUACAAGCAGUGGGAGCACCUUCGGGUGUGACUGCGUACCUUUUGUAUAAUGGGUCAGCGACUUAUAUUCUGUAGCAAGGUUAACCGUAUAGGGGAGCCGCAGGGAAACCGAGUCUUAACUGGGCGUUAAGUUGCAGGGUAUAGACCCGAAACCCGGUGAUCUAGCCAUGGGCAGGUUGAAGGUUGGGUAACACUAACUGGAGGACCGAACCGACUAAUGUUGAAAAAUUAGCGGAUGACUUGUGGCUGGGGGUGAAAGGCCAAUCAAACCGGGAGAUAGCUGGUUCUCCCCGAAAGCUAUUUAGGUAGCGCCUCGUGAACUCAUCUUCGGGGGUAGAGCACUGUUUCGGCUAGGGGGUCAUCCCGACUUACCAACCCGAUGCAAACUACGAAUACCGAAGAAUGUUAUCACGGGAGACACACGGCGGGUGCUAACGUCCGUCGUGAAGAGGGAAACAACCCAGACCGCCAGCUAAGGUCCCAAAGUCAUGGUUAAGUGGGAAACGAUGUGGGAAGGCACAGACAGCCAGGAUGUUGGCUUAGAAGCAGCCAUCAUUUAAAGAAAGCGUAAUAGCUCACUGGUCGAGUCGGCCUGCGCGGAAGAUGUAACGGGGCUAAACCAUGCACCGAAGCUGCGGCAGCGACACUAUGUGUUGUUGGGUAGGGGAGCGUUCUGUAAGCCUGCGAAGGUGUGCUGUGAGGCAUGCUGGAGGUAUCAGAAGUGCGAAUGCUGACAUAAGUAACGAUAAAGCGGGUGAAAAGCCCGCUCGCCGGAAGACCAAGGGUUCCUGUCCAACGUUAAUCGGGGCAGGGUGAGUCGACCCCUAAGGCGAGGCCGAAAGGCGUAGUCGAUGGGAAACAGGUUAAUAUUCCUGUACUUGGUGUUACUGCGAAGGGGGGACGGAGAAGGCUAUGUUAGCCGGGCGACGGUUGUCCCGGUUUAAGCAUGUAGGCUGAUUGUCCAGGCAAAUCCGGAUAAUCAAGGCUGAGGUGUGAUGACGAGGCACUACGGUGCUGAAGUAACAAAUGCCCUGCUUCCAGGAAAAGCCUCUAAGCAUCAGGUAACAUUAAAUCGUACCCCAAACCGACACAGGUGGUCAGGUAGAGAAUACCAAGGCGCUUGAGAGAACUCGGGUGAAGGAACUAGGCAAAAUGGUGCCGUAACUUCGGGAGAAGGCACGCUGGUGUGUAGGUGAAGUCCCUGCGGAUGGAGCUGAGACCAGUCGAAGAUACCAGCUGGCUGCAACUGUUUAUUAAAAACACAGCACUGUGCAAACACGAAAGUGGACGUAUACGGUGUGACGCCUGCCCGGUGCCGGAAGGUUAAUUGAUGGGGUUAUCCGUAAGGAGAAGCUCUUGAUCGAAGCCCCGGUAAACGGCGGCCGUAACUAUAACGGUCCUAAGGUAGCGAAAUUCCUUGUCGGGUAAGUUCCGACCUGCACGAAUGGCGUAAUGAUGGCCAGGCUGUCUCCACCCGAGACUCAGUGAAAUUGAACUCGCUGUGAAGAUGCAGUGUACCCGCGGCAAGACGGAAAGACCCCGUGAACCUUUACUAUAGCUUGACACUGAACAUUGAGCCUUGAUGUGUAGGAUAGGUGGGAGGCUUUGAAGCGUGGACGCCAGUCUGCGUGGAGCCAACCUUGAAAUACCACCCUUUAAUGUUUGAUGUUCUAACGUUGGCCCCUGACCGGGGUUGCGGACAGUGUCUGGUGGGUAGUUUGACUGGGGCGGUCUCCUCCCAAAGCGUAACGGAGGAGCACGAAGGUUAGCUAAUCCUGGUCGGACAUCAGGAGGUUAGUGCAAUGGCAUAAGCUAGCUUGACUGCGAGCGUGACGGCGCGAGCAGGUGCGAAAGCAGGUCAUAGUGAUCCGGUGGUUCUGAAUGGAAGGGCCAUCGCUCAACGGAUAAAAGGUACUCCGGGGAUAACAGGCUGAUACCGCCCAAGAGUUCAUAUCGACGGCGGUGUUUGGCACCUCGAUGUCGGCUCAUCACAUCCUGGGGCUGAAGUAGGUCCCAAGGGUAUGGCUGUUCGCCAUUUAAAGUGGUACGCGAGCUGGGUUUAGAACGUCGUGAGACAGUUCGGUCCCUAUCUGCCGUGGGCGCUGGAGAAUUGAGGGGGGCUGCUCCUAGUACGAGAGGACCGGAGUGGACGCAUCACUGGUGUUCGGGUUGUCAUGCCAAUGGCACUGCCCGGUAGCUAAAUGCGGAAGAGAUAAGUGCUGAAAGCAUCUAAGCACGAAACUUGCCCCGAGAUGAGUUCUCCCUGAGACUUUAAGUCUCCUGAAGGAACGUUAAAGACGAUGACGUUGAUAGGCCGGGUGUGUAAGCGCAGCGAUGCGUUGAGCUAACCGGUACUAAUGAACCGUGAGGCUUAACCUU
Molecule: ribosomal RNA, 2825 nt
Filed under: Klebsiella pneumoniae
Lineage: Bacteria; Pseudomonadati; Pseudomonadota; Gammaproteobacteria; Enterobacterales; Enterobacteriaceae
Description: bacterial LSU rRNA
Rfam family: Bacterial large subunit ribosomal RNA
Source: RNAcentral